GGGAUGUAGCUCAGUUGGCUAGAGCGCUUGACUGGCAGUCAAGAGGUCGUGAGUUCGAAUCUCAUCUUCUCC
This 72-nucleotide transfer RNA is filed under the name uncultured Winogradskyella sp. It matches the Rfam family "tRNA". From Rfam's summary of the family: Transfer RNA (tRNA) molecules are approximately 80 nucleotides in length. The record is from RNAcentral. RNAcentral also lists the same sequence under 1 other name. Lineage: Bacteria; Pseudomonadati; Bacteroidota; Flavobacteriia; Flavobacteriales; Flavobacteriaceae.